UGCGUUAGUUUAGUGAAAGUGGCGAAAGGGUGAGUAACGCGUGAGCAACCUGCCUCUAUGUCGGGGACAACAGUUGGAAACGACUGCUAAUACCGGAUGUGGCUUCUUUAUCGCAUGUUGAAGAAGCUAAAGAUUUAUUGCAUAGAGGUGGGCUCGCGUUCCAUUAGCUAGUUGGUGAGGUAACGGCUCACCAAGGCGACGAUGGAUAGGUGGUCUGAGAGGACGAUCACCCACACUGGGACUGAGACACUGCCCAGACUCC
This 262-nucleotide ribosomal RNA is filed under the name unidentified marine bacterioplankton. RNAcentral's name for it is "partial 16S ribosomal RNA". It matches the Rfam family "Bacterial small subunit ribosomal RNA", at positions 76 to 339 of the family's 1533-position model. The record is from RNAcentral.